GACGAACGCUGGCGGCGUGCUUAACACAUGCAAGUCGAACGAUGAAGUUCCUUCGGGAAUGGAUUAGUGGUGAACGGGUGAGGAACACGUGAGAAACCUGCCUUUCAUUUUGGGAUAACUCCGGGAAACCGGGGCUAAAACCGAAUACUCCGUCUCGGCGGCAUCGCUGAGCCGGGAAAAAUUUUGAUGAAAGAUGGUCUCGCGGCCUAUCAGCUAGUUGGUGAGGUAAUGGCUCACCAAGGCAACGACGGGUAGCCGGCCUGAGAGGGCGACCGGCCACACUGGGACUGAGACACGGCCCAGACUCCUACGGGGGGCAGCAGUGGGGAAUAUUGGGCAAUGGGCGCAAGCCUGACCCAGCGACGCCGCGUGAGGGAUGAAGGCCUUCGGGUUGUAAACCUCUUUCAGUAGGGAAGAAGCGAAAGUGACGGUACCUAAAGAAGAAGCACCGGCUAACUAUGUGCCAGCAGCCGCCGCAG
RNAcentral lists this ribosomal RNA (479 nucleotides) under uncultured bacterium. RNAcentral's name for it is "partial 16S ribosomal RNA". It matches the Rfam family "Bacterial small subunit ribosomal RNA", at positions 28 to 523 of the family's 1533-position model. The record is from RNAcentral.